CCUACGGGAGGCAGCAGUGAGGAAUAUUGGUCAAUGGACGAAAGUCUGAACCAGCCAAGUCGCGUGAAGGAUGACUGCCCUAUGCAUUGUAAACUUCUUUUAUCUAGGAAUAAAAUGUUCCACGUGUGCGUGUUUGUAUGUACCAUAUGAAUAAGGAUCGGCUAACUCCGUGCCAGCAGCCGCGGUAAUACGGAGGAUCCGAGCGUUAUCCGGAUUUAUUGGGUUUAAAGGGAGCGUAGGUGGAUUUGUAAGUCCGGUGUGAAAGUGUGCGGCUUAACCGUCACAUUGCGGUUGAAACUGGCAGUCUUGAGUAGAGUAGAGGUAGGCGGAAUGCGGGGUGUAGCGGUGAAAUGCUUAGAUAUCACGCAGAACUCCGAUUGCGAAGGCAGCUUACUGGACUGGAACUGACACUGAGGCUCGAAAGUGUGGGUAUCAAACAGGAUUAGAUACCCCAGUAGUC
RNAcentral lists this ribosomal RNA (460 nucleotides) under uncultured bacterium. RNAcentral's name for it is "partial 16S ribosomal RNA". It matches the Rfam family "Bacterial small subunit ribosomal RNA", at positions 338 to 795 of the family's 1533-position model. The record is from RNAcentral.